RNAcentral lists this ribosomal RNA (497 nucleotides) under uncultured bacterium. Its description in RNAcentral is "partial 16S ribosomal RNA". It matches the Rfam family "Bacterial small subunit ribosomal RNA", at positions 28 to 507 of the family's 1533-position model. The record is from RNAcentral.
GAUGAACGCUGGCGGCGUGCCUAAUACAUGCAAGUCGAGCGAACAGACGAGGAGCUUGCUCCUCUGACGUUAGCGGCGGACGGGUGAGUAACACGUGGAUAACCUACCUAUAAGACUGGGAUAACUUCGGGAAACCGGAGCUAAUACCGGAUAAUAUAUUGAACCGCAUGGUUCAAUAGUGAAAGACGGUUUUGCUGUCACUUAUAGAUGGAUCCGCGCCGUAUUAGCUAGUUGGUAAGGUAACGGCUUACCAAGGCAACGAUGCGUAGCCGACCUGAGAGGGUGAUCGGCCACACUGGAACUGAGACACGGUCCAGACUCCUACGGGAGGCAGCAGUAGGGAAUCUUCCGCAAUGGGCGAAAGCCUGACGGAGCAACGCCGCGUGAGUGAUGAAGGUCUUCGGAUCGUAAAACUCUGUUAUUAGGGAAGAACAAAUAUGUAAGUAACUAUGCACGUCUUGACGGUACCUAAUCAGAAAGCCACGGCUAACUACGUG